This 222-nucleotide ribosomal RNA is filed under the name uncultured archaeon. RNAcentral's name for it is "partial 16S ribosomal RNA". It matches the Rfam family "Archaeal small subunit ribosomal RNA", at positions 523 to 740 of the family's 1478-position model. The record is from RNAcentral.
UCUUGGGGACGCUGCUCCCCGGAAAUCGUUACUGCUUAACCUGAACGGCUCGCAGGAGAGACACGGACCGCCCUCGAGACCGGGAGGGGGCAAGAGGUAUUCCAUGGGGACCGGUAAAAUGGGAUAAUCUAUGGAAGACUACCUGUGGCGAAGGCAUUUCACCAGAACGGAUCUGACAAUGAGGGACGAAAGCCAGGGGAGCAAACCGGAUUAGAUACCCGA